GGUAAAGUAGCCAAGUAGGCGGCGGAUUGUAGCUCCGAAGACAGAGGUUAAACCCUCUCUUUAUCA
Molecule: transfer RNA, 66 nt
Filed under: Hyperolius marmoratus (marbled rush frog)
Lineage: Eukaryota; Metazoa; Chordata; Amphibia; Anura; Hyperoliidae
Description: tRNA-Tyr
Rfam family: tRNA
About the family: Transfer RNA (tRNA) molecules are approximately 80 nucleotides in length. Their secondary structure includes four short double-helical elements and three loops (D, anti-codon, and T loops).
Source: RNAcentral